Molecule: long non-coding RNA, 1072 nt
Organism: Coregonus clupeaformis (lake whitefish)
Lineage: Eukaryota; Metazoa; Chordata; Actinopteri; Salmoniformes; Salmonidae
Exons: 4
Source: RefSeq, a predicted model, not a curated record
GACAGCCUGUCCUUCAUCCUUUCAGACGCUGACAUUUUUUUACACUUUAUUUUGCAUUUUACAUUUUUAGUCAUUUAGCAGACGCUCUUAUCCAGAGCGACUUACAGGAGCAUUAGUUUAUUGAACCCGUUUUUGUUAAUGCAAGAUACUUUGUGACAAUUUACUUCAAAUAAACUGCCAGCAGGAUGUUUGGUUGCAAGGAACGACGUUCAAAAAACUAACUUGUGCAGAGGGCGAGAGACAGAAUCAAGAAAGAUGGCGAGAUGACAAACCACAUUGCAGAGCUGGACAGUAUCUGUGGUGUUUGAGGGCUCCACCCAGGCUGGUUCCAUGAAGACCCUGAAGCUGAGAGAGCUGACCCAGCAGAGAGAGACUGCGCUGGGAAAGACUGCUCUGACGCUGGUCCGUAGAGCAGCACUGCAGGCCCUCCUGGAGCAUGAGAGACAGCAGUACGUCAUAGAGCUCAACAGACUGGGCAAGGCCAUCUACAAACAGAGUCUAGACUCUAGUCUUCACUAGACCCAUAACAACACCAAAGACUAUCUGAAGUUUCUGCUGAAAGCCAUCUACCAGCAAGGAUGUGUAAACAACUAUAGAAUACUUUUAAGUAUUAAUGUGAAAACAUUUACUCACAGCCAUCUAUAAGCACCUUGUUUACAAUUGAAGAUGUGUUUUUUCUUUAGGAUUACAGUUUUACAUCUUUGUCUUUACAUUUAAAAAAAAAAGUCUGAUCUGUGCAGAAGCAGAAACUGCUUCUGUAAAAGUACACAUUUAAGUAAUUUACAUUCCAGUAAAUUAAUUACUGGGCCUCAUGUCACAUGACUCAUGUCACGUUAACAAAACAGGGAUUUGUGUGUCAGUCAGGGAGGUAGCACUAUACAUAAACAAAACACAUAUUUGGUUAACAAACAGGUCUCCUUCACAACCGCAAGCAAGACCAAAAGAAAUCAACGAAUACACAGUCUGUCAUUUGUCCGUUCAGUAGAGCUCUCUACUGGUCAUUUGCUUCAGUUUUGAGGAGUAAUUACAGUGCCUUCGGAAAGUAUUCAGACCCCUUGACUUUUUCCAUAUU